AUGAAAAGCUUAUCGGAGCCUUGUGGGAUUAUAGAACCACAACAUGCACUGACACCUUAUUCCUUAGUAUUUGGAGGAUAAGCCGAUCUACCUUUAGAGGUACAAAUCACGUCAUUCAGAGUCGCUACACAUGAAAAUUUGUCGGAAGAAAAAUCAAUACAAUUACGUUUCGAUGAAUUGGAUAGACUAGAAGGAAGGUGACUUCAAGCUUUGCAAAAUCUUGAGGCAUACCAAGACAGGAUGUCGCGAGCAUUCGACAAAUGAGUCAAAAGAAGGUCGUUCAAACAAGGAGAUCUAGUAGUUGCGGUCAUCCAUCCUAUGAAUAUCAUGCGACGGGUGAAAGGAAAGUUUGAACCAAAAUGAAAAGGUCCCUUCGUCAUACAAGAGGUUUAUUCUAGCGGCGCAUAUAGAAUCAUAUCACCAGAUGGGGAAUACUCGCCGACACCGGUAAAUGGGAAAUUCCUUAAGCGCUACUAUGCAUAA
This 483-nucleotide ribosomal RNA is filed under the name Triticum aestivum (bread wheat). RNAcentral describes it as "partial small subunit ribosomal RNA". The record is from RNAcentral. Lineage: Eukaryota; Viridiplantae; Streptophyta; Magnoliopsida; Poales; Poaceae.